GAUGAACGCUAGCUACAGGCUUAACACAUGCAAGUCGAGGGGCAGCGGGUUGAAAGCUUGCUUUCAAUGCCGGCGACCGGCGCACGGGUGCGUAACGCGUAUCAAACCUGCCUCAUACUCGGGGAUAGCCUUGCGAAAGUAAGAUUAAUACCCGAUGUUGUUGCUUUCUCGCAUGGGAGAGUAACCAAAGAUUUAUCGGUAUGAGAUGGUGAUGCGUCCGAUUAGGUAGUAGGCGGGGUAACGGCCCACCUAGCCUUCGAUCGGUAGGGGUUCUGAGAGGAAGGUCCCCCACACUGGAACUGAGACACGGUCCAGACUCCUACGGGAGGCAGCAGUGAGGAAUAUUGGUCAAUGGGCGAGAGCCUGAACCAGCCAAGUAGCGUGCAGGAUGACGGCCCUCCGGGUUGUAAACUGCUUUUAGUUGGGAAUAAAAAAAGGGACUUGUCCCUUCUUGUAUGUAC
This 461-nucleotide ribosomal RNA is filed under the name Alloprevotella sp. oral taxon 308. RNAcentral describes it as "bacterial SSU rRNA". It matches the Rfam family "Bacterial small subunit ribosomal RNA", at positions 28 to 478 of the family's 1533-position model. The record is from RNAcentral. Lineage: Bacteria; Pseudomonadati; Bacteroidota; Bacteroidia; Bacteroidales; Prevotellaceae.